UACGAAGGGGGCUAGCGUUGUUCGGAAUUACUGGGCGUAAAGCGCGUGUAGGCGGGUCUUUAAGUCAGGGGUGAAAUGCCAAGGCUCAACCUUGGAACUGCCUUUGAUACUGGAGACCUUGAGUCCGGGAGGGGUGAGUGGAAUUGCGAGUGUAGAGGUGAAAUUCGUAGAUAUUCGCAAGAACACCAGUGGCGAAGGCGGCUCACUGGCCCGGAACUGACGCUGAGACGCGAAAGCGUGGGGAGCAAACAGG
Molecule: ribosomal RNA, 253 nt
Filed under: uncultured bacterium
Lineage: Bacteria
Description: partial 16S ribosomal RNA
Rfam family: Bacterial small subunit ribosomal RNA
Source: RNAcentral